AUUAAUAAAUAAAAGGUAAAAUGAGAAUUAAGAAGAUUUUUAAUAUUGCAGAGAAUUAUAUUGAAUUUAAAAUUAAAGUUUUAAACUGAUGAAGGUGCAUAGUGGAUAAUCUAAAUAGCAGAGGGUUUAAAGGUGAGAAACUAAAUUGAUGAUGAGGCAUGGAUAUCAUUAUAUAGGCAGGAAAUGUUUAUGACCCUCUUCUUUUUAACCCCAUUUAGUUGAUGUUUAUUUGAACACACACAAUGAGGAAUGGUGCAAUUUUUUAAAUAUAACAUCAGGUUCUUUGAGUGAUGGGCACUGAUGCAAUCAAUGAUUUUCAUUUUGUAUUUCUUACCUUUUGAAUAUUAUGUAAUUUUGGAUUUUUUUUUUCUUUUAUAUACCAUAUGAUGGAAGACAACCGAUGAACAUGCUAGGUUGGUGCUCUUAGGUAAUUUCUCUCCUUUAAUUUUUCCACUCAUGAUGAUUUUAUUUGCUUGCUUCCUUUUGGCUAAGUGGGAAUUUACUUAUGGGCUAAUAUUUCCUUAUUGGGCUUGACCCAUUUCUCUUUAUCCUUAGUUGUUUUGUGUUUGGUGGCUGUUGGAAUUUCUGCUGGGUUCCAAAGCAAAAUUUGGACCUCUCUACUUGAAUAUUUUGCUGGGUUCCAAUGCAGAAUUCAGACCUCUCAACUUGAAUAUUUUGCUUGUUGGUUCCAUGUGUUAUGCGUUCCCCUCCCUUUGAUAUUUUCUAUGUUGCGUUGGCUCCUAUUAGCUGCUUGGGGGUGGCACAUUUAUGUGGCUGAUUGGGUUUAUUUUCCCCUAUAAAUGGGGGAUUUUUGCUGCUAGUGGGGGGGUUGGUUGUUGGCUGAAAUAUUUUAUAAACCUGAGGGUUUUUCUUUCUAGCUUGAGAGCUACCAUCUUCCUCGACCUAAUUCUUCUUCUAGUCUUCUAUCUAUUUCAUCCCUCCACGGUUUCCCUUCCAAUUGUAUCAUUCUUCUCCAAAUAUAGUGAAUGUGGUGUGUUGUUUGGCCGGUUUAUUGGUAUUUGCCAGAGGAGUGCCGACCGGUGUUGGAUCAAGAUUUUUGUUGCGAACCACUAGUUUGAAUUUUCCUUGGAGCACCAAUUCCUAAUUUUCAUAUUUGCAUGUGAGGUGACCUUUUUUUAAGGUUGUUCUGAGGGUAGUUUAUUUUAUAUAUUAGUUUGUUUUUGCUAAGUUUCCUAGUAGUUCUCUCACAUAUGUUUUUAUUAAGUUUUCUUUCUGGUGUUUCUAUCUUUUGUUUAUUGAAAGAGGUGUCAUGUUUAUCCUAGUGUUCUCCUAUUUGGUUCUGGAACUUAGGUUACACCAAUUUGGUAUCAGAGCGUCUAGGUUGUUGUGUGAGUCUCACUUUCUUUCAUAAAAAUAAAAAAGGUGAAAAUAAAUAAUCAAAAUAAUCAACAAGCAGAUUGGCAUUAAAUGAUUAUACAACAAAUGCCUAACCAACAGCAACAAAUGGAAACAAUGGUUGAUACUCUGGUUUCCCUAAAUAUAAACAAUACUCAUGCUCAAAACAAUGAAAGUGAAGAUAAAGCACCACGAAAUCAAAAUAGAAAUAAUAGGCAAUGGGAUCCUGGGAUUAAAAUCGACGUUUGUGAAUUUGAAGGCAAACUACAACCUGAACAAUUUCUUGAAUGGUUGAAAAAAUAGAUCAAAUUUUUAAAUAGAAAGAAAUUCCUGAAAACAAGAAAGUUAGGUUUGCUAGUUUAAAACUGAUGGGUCAUGCAUUACUUGGUGGAAAAUUUUUCAAAAUAAUAGAAUAAGGAGAUAGAAAGAGAAAAUUCAAACAUGAGUAAGAAUAAAAGAAAAAAUGCAAGGAAAAUUCAUGCCUGCUGACCAUUCCCAAACUUUGUUCCAAUAAUACAAUAACAUUCGCCAAGGAAAUCAAUCCAUAGAAGAAUACACUGAAAAUUUCUACAAACUUCAAUCCAUAAAUGACUUAAAUGAAACUAAAGAACGAAUCAUAACAUGAUACAUCAAUGGAUUAAAGUGGUCAAUUCAAGAUCAAUUAAAUCUACAUCAUAUUAUCAAACUCGAUGAGGCCUAUCAUAUUGCUUUGAAGAUUGAAAAACAAUAACAAAGAAACGAAACUAAAAGAAUUGAGUCAACCAAGCUUAGACAAUCUCUUGGAAGUAAAGUUCAAACUUCACAAACAACCAUUGGAUCAACUUCUUCAAAUCUAAAUCCACGAAUGAAACCUAAUGAAACUCUAGUAAUUGAAAAAGGAAAAGGAGUGAUAGGACCAAAACCAAUUGGACCCUAUUAUAAAUGUGGCUUGUAUGGUCAUCUGUCUGCAGCACGUAGAAAAAACAGGCCACCUAGAACCAACUAUAUUAAACAAGAGGAAAGCCAUGAAAAUUCAAAAAAAAAAAAAGAAUCUGAAGAAGACAACAAGGAAGAGAUGGAAUCAAUUGAUGUUGAAGGUGACCAAGGAGAUUAUUAUUUACCUAUCCGUAGGAUUUUGACCACCAAAUCAAAUGCUAGAGAAAAAUGGCUUAGAAAAAAUAUUUUUCGAACCACAUGUACGGUAGAAAAAAAAAUCGUGUAACCUAUUGAUUGAUAGUGGUAGUUUCAAAAAUUUUGUGUCACAACUCAUGUUGGAUAAACUGAAAUUAAAACCAAAACCACUUGUCAAGCCUUGCAAAAUAUCAUGGUUUAAGGAAGGAGGAGAGAUACCAAUCACUCAGCAGUGCCUUGUCAGGCUUUCAAUUGGAAAUUUUUACAAAGACCAAGUAUUAUGUGACAUUAUUACACUCGAGGUUUGUCAUGUUCUCCUGGGUCGACCUUGGCAAUAUGAUCACAAAACCAUUCAAAAUGGAGAGAAAAACACUUACACCUUGACCCAAGAAAAUAAGGAGUUCACUUUUUAUCCCCAAAAGAAAAUUUUUGACCCUCCCACAAAAAAUGUCCAAAUAACUUCAAAGUCACCCAAUCCUGAAUUGCUUCUCAAUACAAAUGAACUAAAAGACACAAAAGUGAUUUAUCUUGUGAUAGAAAAAGAGAAUGAAGUAAACAAAAAAAUUCCUAAAGAAAUUCAACAUUUAAUCAAUGAAUUUAAAGACAUAACUCUUGAAGAACUACCUGAUUCAUUGCCUCCUCUAAGAGAUAUCCAAUACCAUAUUAAUCUUGUAACCGUGGCAAAUUUACCACACCUGCCUCACUAUCGUAUGAGUCUUACUGAACAUAAAGAACUCUGCAAACAAGUAACUAAACUCUUAACUAAAAGAUUAAUCAGAGAAAGCAUGAGUCCAUGUGUUGUCCAAGCCCUGCUUACCCCAAAAAAAGAUGGAACUUGGAGGAUGUGUCUUGACAGCCGAGCUAUAAACAAUAUAAACAUUAAGUAUAGGUUUCUUAUCCUAAGAUUGACGAUAUGCUAGACAUGCUUAGUGGUGCCAAAAUUUUCUCCAAGAUUGACUUGAGAAGUGGAUAUCAUCAAAUCCGAAUACGACCUGGUGAUGAGUGGAAAACAGCUUCUAAAACUAAGGACUCUACGAAUUGAUAGUUAUACCUUUUGGACUAUCAAAUGCUCUUAGCACAUUUAUGCGAACCAUGAAUCAUAUCCUACAUCCCUUUAUUGAAAAAUUUGUUGUGUUUUAUUUUGAUAACAUACUGAUUUAUAGCACUUGUCUCAAUGACCAUCUUGAACAUGUGAGACAUGUCCUUCAAACUCUAAGAGAACAAUGCUUAUACAUCAACUUAAAAAAGUGAUCUUUCAUGACUCCUAGUUUGACUUUCCUUGGAUACAUUGUCUCUGAUGAUGGUAUUAAAGUGGAACACAUUAAAAUUGAAGCAAUCCAGAGCUAGCCAACUCCAAAAAAAAUUAGUGAUGUGAGGGGAUUUCAUGGAUUAGCCCCUUUUUACUGAAGAUUCAGGAAAAUUUUCAGUACUUUGAUUUCACCCAUCACUAACUGUCUUAAAAAGGGAACCUUAGGUAAACCCCUGACGCUGAAAAAGCAUUUCAUCAAAUUAAGACAAAAAUGAGCCAAGCACAUAUUAUUAGAUUACUUGAUAAGAUGUUUGAAGUAGACUGUGAUGCUUCCCAUGUUGGCAUAGAAGUUGUCUUUAGUCAAGAGGGUCGACCUGUUGCUUUCUUUAGCAAAAAACUUAAUGAUACUCGAUCCCGAUAUUCAACAUAUGAUGUUGAGUUCUAUGAGAUUGUUUAAGCUCUAAAAUUCUAGAGACAUUAUCUUAUUCAAAGAGAAUUUGUGCCAAGUUCUGAUCAUAAAGCACUACGAUACUUAGGAUCUCAGAAAAUUUUGAAUUGAAGACAUGCUAAGUGUUCAUUUUUUUACAAGAAUAUAUGUUUCAUCUUAAACACAAAGUUAGAACUUUGAAUAGAGUCGUUGAUUCCUUAAGCAGAAGAGCCCAUUUGCUAGUAACUAUCCACCCAUUUGUGAUUUCUCUUGAUUACUUAAAAGAUAGCUAUGUCACUUACUCAAAUUUUAAAAUUAUUUAAGAAUCAUGUUGUACUUCUAGAGUUGACCCUUCUACUCAAUUUACCAUCCAACAAAAAUUUUUAUUUAAGGGGACUAAGCUUUGUAUUACCCAAAGCUCUUUACGUGACAAACUCAUCCAAGAACUUCAUGGUGGAGGAUUACGAGGGCAUUUUGGUCAAGGAAAAACUACAGCUUUAGUUGAAGAAUGAUAUUUCUGACCCCACAUGCAAAAACAUAUAACAAAAAUUUUAAAAUAAUGUAAAAUAUGUCAAGAAUUCAAAUGAACCACUCAAAACACUAGUUUAUACACUCCACUCCCAAUUCCAAACAAACAGUGGGAAGAUAUCAUUAUGGAUUUUAUAUUAGGAUUACCUGUCACUGCCCAAAAGUUUGAUUAUGUAUUUGUUGUUGUUGAUCGAUUUAACAAAAUGGCACAUUUCAUCGCUUGCAAGAAAACCUCUGAUGCUUCUCAUGUCGCUGAUUUAUUUUUUAAAGAAAUUAUGAGACUACAUGGCAUACCCAUAACUUUCACCUCUGAUAAGGAUAAUAGGUUCUUAAGCCAUUUUUGGAGAAUGGAUUUUACUCCAAGCCGAAUUUCUUAUAACAAUUGCAUCAACUGAUCUACUGGAAAAACCCCUUUUGAAAUUAUUUAUGGCCAACUUAUUCCCCACAUUUUAGACCGAACUUCAUUACCCAUGCCUAGUAAAAUCAGUGUUGAAGCUACAAAAAUUGUUGAUCAUAUUCAAUCGAUCCAAUGUCAAGUCCUAGAAAAACUACACAAGGAAAAUGCUAAAUACAAAACUACGGCUGACAAACAAUGAAGAGAGUGUUAUUUUCAAGACGGAGAUUUAGUUAUGGCUUAUUUUUGACGACAGCGCUUUCCCAUUGGUACUUUUGGAAAGCUAAGUUGAAAGAAAUUUGGCCCUUUCUGAAUACUUUGAAUAUUGGGAACAAAAGCUUAUCUGUUGUAUCUUUCACUUUUUGUUGGAACUUUACUUGUGUUUAAUGUUGUUGACCUUACUACAUAUGAAGGAGAAUUAACUGAUUCAGUGGAUCUAGAGACCUUACCCCUUACCUAUCCAGCUCAGAUCAAAGAUGAUCAUAUUGAAGAUGUUUUGGACAUCAGAACUACCCAGACAAGGCGUGGAAUGCACAGGCGGUUCCUGGUUAAAUGGUGUGGACGUCCUUUGACUGUCUAACGACCCAAAUUUCUAGGUAAUUAAAUAAGUUUAAUUAAAAUAAAUUAGUCUUUAUUAAUAAUUAUAUAUCUUGUUAAACAAAAUAUUAAAUAAAAAGUGUGUUCUGAAUAGAUGCUUCCCUUGGGCAAUUGUGAGAGCAGUUAGAGUAGUGGGGUCCACUCAUUGAUCCUUAUCAGCAUGCGGAAUGCAACUAAAAAUUCUCCUGUAGAAGCAUUCGGUGAAGCCAUUCAUCACAGGGAGAGUUCGGAACUUCGCUCUCCCGGGACUGUAGCAAAUGCGGCUGAUUUGUGAAGGAAAUUCACAGAAUCCACUGUAGCUGGCGUCGGCAUAGUGGUAUUUGGCACGGGGCUUUUGUGAUUGGCAGCCAGGGUUCACGAAUUUUCUAUUCCUUUGUUCGGCACAAUGAAGGGAGCACUAUAGCAGUUUGGAAAUCAGCAGAAAAUAGACAAUAUUAUUGAGGAAAUUCCAUGAGAAGGAUUUGCUUCCAUGGCAAUAGAGAUUUGGCAAUACAGUUGAUUCAAGAGUGUGAAUGAAUUGAGGACAUAUUGAAGGAUUAAAGAAGGAGAAUUAUUCGUAUAUUUAUGCAAAAAGAAAGUUUUGAGUUUGUGUAUCAAAGGAAAGGGCUUCGUGGUGUAGGUUUUGAAGAGACCAACCGUGAGAAAGGAAAAGGAAAAGCAGAGAAAGUUUGAUAUGCAAGAAUUAAAUUUUAUGUCAAUGUUUAUUUAAAUUUUGAAAUAUACUCUUGAGGUUAGUAAACAUUUUUAAAGUUAUAUUACUUUGAAUUGUUUUGAAUUUCCUUAGUGGCUCUGUACUAAGUCUUUGAUGUGAUGAAAUUUGGGAAUUAUUCGAUUCUUCCUUUAAAUGAUGUUUAUAGGAUCU
Long non-coding RNA from Dendrobium catenatum, 6523 nucleotides. RefSeq lists it as uncharacterized. The record is from RefSeq and is a predicted model, not a curated record. Lineage: Eukaryota; Viridiplantae; Streptophyta; Magnoliopsida; Asparagales; Orchidaceae. The transcript is spliced from 4 exons.